GGUAGGUUAAAGCGGUGUAGCUGGAGCCAAGGGAAACCGAGUCUGAAGAGGGCGAUAAUCAGUAUUUAUAGACCCGAACCCUGGUGAUCUAACCAUGUCCAGGAUGAAGCUUGGGUAACACCAAGUGGAGGUCCGAACCGACCGAUGUUGAAAAAUCGGCGGAUGAGSUGUGGUUAGGGGUGAAAUGCCAAUCGAACCAGGAGCUAGCUGGUUCUCCCCGAAAUGUGUUKAGGCGCAGCGGUAAUGAWUAUAGUCUGGGGGGUAAAGCACUGUUUCGGUGCGGGCUGGGAGACCGGUACCAAAUCGAGACAAACUCWGAAUACCCAGAUGCACACAUUGCCAGUGAGACAGUGGGGGAUAAGCUUCAUUGUCAAGAGGGAAACAGCCCAGACCACCAGCUAAGGUCCCCAAAUCAUCGCUAAGUGAUAAAGGAGGUGAGAGUGCACAGACAACUAGGAGGUUUGCCUAGAAGCAGCCACCCUUGAAAGAGUGCGUAAUAGCUCACUAGUCAAGCGCUCUYGCGCCGAAAAUGAACGGGGCUAAGCGAUGUACCGAAGCUGUGGGAUUACUAAUAAUAAUCGGUAGGGGAGCGUUCCGUCAUAGGUAGAAGCAGUAGCGGCAAGCAGCUGUGGACGAAACGGAAGUGAGAAUGUCGGCUUGAGUAGCGCAAAUGUAUGUGAGAAUCAUACACCCCGAAACCCUAAGGGUUCCAGAGCCAGGUUCGUCCACUCUGGGUUAGUCGGGACCUAAGGCGAGGCCGAACGGCGUAGUCGAUGGACAAAGUGUCAAUAGUCACUUACUGUUCUGUGGGAGCAUAGAUAGGGACGCAUGAAAGAUAGCCACACCCUAAUUGGUUUGGGAGGGGUUUACGAACUCCGAGUGGGGAAGGAUAGUGCCAAGAAAAGCUAUGUAUGUGAUGAAAGCAGAAUACCCGUACCCGAAACCGACACAGGUAGGGAGGUUGAGAAUACCAAGGGGCGCGAGAUAACUCUCUCUAAGGAACUCGGCAAAAUGGCCCCGUAACUUCGGAAGAAGGGGUGCCCACUGUAUAAGUGGGUCGCAGUGAAGAGAUCCAGGCGACUGUUUACCAAAAACACAGGUCUCCGCAAACUCGUAAGAGGACGUAUGGGGGCUGACGCCUGCCCAGUGCCGGAAGGUUAAGGAAGUCGGUCAGCGAAAGUGAAGCUGGCGACCGAAGCCCCGGUGAACGGCGGCCGUAACUAUAACGGUCCUAAGGUAGCGAAAUUCCUUGUCGGGUAAGUUCCGACCCGCACGAAAG
This 1279-nucleotide ribosomal RNA is filed under the name Juncus effusus. RNAcentral's name for it is "bacterial LSU rRNA". The record is from RNAcentral. Lineage: Eukaryota; Viridiplantae; Streptophyta; Magnoliopsida; Poales; Juncaceae.